AGUGAACGCUGGCGGUAGGCCUAACACAUGCAAGUCGAACGGCAGCACAGUAAGAGCUUGCUCUUACGGGUGGCGAGUGGCGGACGGGUGAGGAAUACAUCGGAAUCUACUUUUUCGUGGGGGAUAACGUAGGGAAACUUACGCUAAUACCGCAUACGACCUACGGGUGAAAGCAGAGGAUCUUCGGACCUUGCGCGAUUGAAUGAGCCGAUGUCGGAUUAGCUAGUUGGCGGGGUAAAGGCCCACCAAGGCGACGAUCCGUAGCUGGUCUGAGAGGAUGAUCAGCCACACUGGAACUGAGACACGGUCCAGACUCCUACGGGAGGCAGCAGUGGGGAAUAUUGGACAAUGGGCGCAAGCCUGAUCCAGCCAUACCGCGUGGGUGAAGAAGGCCUUCGGGUUGUAAAGCCCUUUUGUUGGGAAAGAAAAGCAGCAGGUUAAUACCCCGCUGCUCUGACGGUACCCAAAGAAUAAGCACCGGCUAACUUCGUG
RNAcentral lists this ribosomal RNA (492 nucleotides) under uncultured bacterium. RNAcentral's name for it is "partial 16S ribosomal RNA". It matches the Rfam family "Bacterial small subunit ribosomal RNA", at positions 29 to 507 of the family's 1533-position model. The record is from RNAcentral.